RNAcentral lists this ribosomal RNA (863 nucleotides) under actinobacterium 00YD9. Its description in RNAcentral is "bacterial SSU rRNA". It matches the Rfam family "Bacterial small subunit ribosomal RNA", at positions 53 to 926 of the family's 1533-position model. The record is from RNAcentral. Lineage: Bacteria; Bacillati; Actinomycetota; Actinomycetes.
UCAUGUUGGUCGCGCGAUGAAACCCUUCGGGGUGGAGGGGUGGCGAACGGGUGAGUAACACGUGGGCAAUCUGCCCUUCACUCUGGGACAAGCCCUGGAAACGGGGUCUAAUACCGGAUAACACUCCUGCCUGCAUGGGCGGGAGUUAAAAGCUCCGGCGGUGAAGGAUGAGCCCGCGGCCUAUCAGCUUGUUGGUGGGGUAAUGGCCCACCAAGGCGACGACGGGUAGCCGGCCUGAGAGGGCGACCGGCCACACUGGGACUGAGACACGGCCCAAACUCCUACGGGAGGCAGCAGUGGGGAAUAUUGCACAAUGGGCGAAAGCCUGAUGCAGCGACGCCGCGUGAGGGAUGACGGCCUUCGGGUUGUAAACCUCUUUCAGCAGGGAAGAAGCGAAAGUGACGGUACCUGCAGAAGAAGCGCCGGCUAACUACGUGCCAGCAGCCGCGGUAAUACGUAGGGCGCAAGCGUUGUCCGGAAUUAUUGGGCGUAAAGAGCUCGUAGGCGGCUUGUCACGUCGGGUGUGAAAGCCCGGGGCUUAACCCCGGGUCUGCAUCCGAUACGGGCAGGCUAGAGUGUGGUAGGGGAGAUCGGAAUUCCUGGUGUAGCGGUGAAAUGCGCAGAUAUCAGGAGGAACACCGGUGGCGAAGGCGGAUCUCUGGGCCAUUACUGACGCUGAGGAGCGAAGGCGUGGGGAGCGAACAGGAUUAGAUACCCUGGUAGUCCACGCCGUAAACGUUGGGGAACUAGGUGUUGGCGACAUUCCACGUCGUCGGUGCCGCAGCUAACGCAUUUAAGUUCCCCGCCUAGUGAGUACGGGCCGCAAGGCUAAAACUCAAAUGAAUUUGACCGGGGGAAGCCAC